Molecule: ribosomal RNA, 422 nt
Filed under: Himantura uarnak (honeycomb stingray)
Lineage: Eukaryota; Metazoa; Chordata; Chondrichthyes; Myliobatiformes; Dasyatidae
Description: partial 12S ribosomal RNA
Rfam family: Bacterial small subunit ribosomal RNA (bases 55-422)
Source: RNAcentral
GGGGGGGGGGGGGGGCGGAAAUUGUACUUUACAAAUUACCUUAAUUUACCGCCCGAACACUACAAGCGCUAGCUUAAAACCCAAAGGACUUGGCGGUACUCCAAACCCACCUAGAGGAGCCUGUUCUAUAACCGAUAAUCCGCGUUUAACCUCACCACUUCUUGCUCUUUCCGCCUAUAUACCGCCGUCGUCAGCUCACCCUGUGAGGGUUUAACAGUAAGCACAAUGACCCUUCCCCUCAACACGUCAGGUCGAGGUGUAGCGAAUGAAGUGGGAAGAAAUGGGCUACAUUCUCUUUACAGAGCACACGAAUAAAAGCAUGAAAAACUUCUUAAAGGUGGAUUUAGCAGUAAGUAGACUUUAGAACACUACACUGAAAUCGGCUCUGGAGUGCGCACACACCGCCCGUCACCCACCACGAC